RNAcentral lists this ribosomal RNA (584 nucleotides) under uncultured archaeon. Its description in RNAcentral is "bacterial SSU rRNA". It matches the Rfam family "Archaeal small subunit ribosomal RNA", at positions 89 to 656 of the family's 1478-position model. The record is from RNAcentral.
CUCCCCUACAAAGAGUCAACCUGCCCUGGAGACAAGGACAACCCCUGGAAACUGGGAUUAAUCCUUGAUAGGUCAUCUCACCUGGAAGGAGAGAUGGCUUAAAGGGGUACGCGGGCUUCUUCCGCGAAUCUGCUCCAGGAUGGGACUGCGUCCGAUCAGGCUGUUGGCGGGGUAAUGGCCCACCAAACCUGUAACCGGUACGGGCCUUGAGAGAGGUGGCCCGGAGAUGGACACUGAGAGAAGGGUCCAGGUCCUACGGGGCGCAGCAGGCGCGAAACCUUCGCAAUGCGCGAAAGCGUGACGAGGUUAAUCCGAGUGACUUCCGCUGAGGAGGUCUUUUGUCAGCUGUAAAUAGGCAGGCGAAUAAGGGGAGGGCAAGCCUGGUGUCAGCCGCCGCGGUAAUACCAGCUCCUCGAGUGGUCGGUGCGAUUAUUGGGCCUAAAGCAUCCGUAGCCGGUUCCGUAGGCCCUCUGUUAAAUCCAACCGCUUAACGGUUGACAUGCAGAGGAUACCGCGAGACUAGGAGGCGGGAGAGGCGGACGGUACUCCGUGUGGAGGGGUAAAAUCCUUUGAUCCGCGGAAGA